This 468-nucleotide ribosomal RNA is filed under the name uncultured bacterium. Its description in RNAcentral is "partial 16S ribosomal RNA". It matches the Rfam family "Bacterial small subunit ribosomal RNA", at positions 28 to 507 of the family's 1533-position model. The record is from RNAcentral.
GACGAACGCUGGCGGCGUGCUUAACACAUGCAAGUCGAACGGAAAGGCCCUGCUUUUGUGGGGUGCGCGAGUGGCGAACGGGUGAGUAACAUGGGAGUAACCUGCCCUUGACUUUGGGAUAACUUCAGGAAACGGGGGCUUACACCGGAUAGGAGCUCCUGCUGCAUGGUGGUGGUUGGAAAGUUUCGGCGGGUUGGGAUGGACUCGCGGCUUAUCAGCUUGUUGGUGGGGUAGUGGCUUACCAAGGCUUUGACGGGUAGCCGGCCUGAGAGGGUGACCGGCCACAUUGGGACUGAGAUACGGCCCAGACUCCUACGGGAGGCAGCAGUGGGGAAUAUUGCACAAUGGGCGGAAGCCUGAUGCAGCAACGCCGCGUGCGGGAUGACGGCCUUCGGGUUGUAAACCGCUUUCGCCUGUGACGAAGCGUGAGUGACGGUAAUGGGUAAAGAAGCACCGGCUAACUACGUG